AGACCCGAAACCCGGUGAUCUAGCCAUGGGCAGGUUGAAGGUUGGGUAACACUAACUGGAGGACCGAACCGACUAAUGUUGAAAAAUUAGCGGAUGACUUGUGGCUGGGGGUGAAAGGCCAAUCAAACCGGGAGAUAGCUGGUUCUCCCCGAAAGCUAUUUAGGUAGCGCCUCGUGAAUUCAUCUCCGGGGGUAGAGCACUGUUUCGGCAAGGGGGUCAUCCCGACUUACCAACCCGAUGCAAACUGCGAAUACCGG
Molecule: ribosomal RNA, 257 nt
Filed under: Escherichia coli
Lineage: Bacteria; Pseudomonadati; Pseudomonadota; Gammaproteobacteria; Enterobacterales; Enterobacteriaceae
Also listed under: 1 other name
Description: partial 23S ribosomal RNA
Rfam family: Bacterial large subunit ribosomal RNA
Source: RNAcentral